This 762-nucleotide ribosomal RNA is filed under the name Vibrio parahaemolyticus. RNAcentral describes it as "partial 23S ribosomal RNA". It matches the Rfam family "Bacterial large subunit ribosomal RNA", at positions 1378 to 2123 of the family's 2925-position model. The record is from RNAcentral. Lineage: Bacteria; Pseudomonadati; Pseudomonadota; Gammaproteobacteria; Vibrionales; Vibrionaceae.
GGUAAGUCGACCCCUAAGGCGAGGCCGAAAGGCGUAGUCGAUGGGAAACGGGUUAAUAUUCCCGUACUUCUUACAAUUGCGAUGGGGGGACGGAGAAGGCUAGGUGGGCCUGGCGACGGUUGUCCAGGUUCAAGUGCGUAGGCUUAAGAGUUAGGUAAAUCCGGCUCUUUUUAAGGCUGAGACACGACGUCGAGCACCUACGGGUGUGAAGUCAUUGAUGCCAUGCUUCCAGGAAAAGCCUCUAAGCUUCAGAUUGUAAGGAAUCGUACCCCAAACCGACACAGGUGGUCGGGUAGAGAAUACCAAGGCGCUUGAGAGAACUCGGGUGAAGGAACUAGGCAAAAUGGUACCGUAACUUCGGGAGAAGGUACGCUCUCGACGGUGAAGUCCCUUGCGGAUGGAGCUAUUGAGAGUCGCAGAUACCAGGUGGCUGCAACUGUUUAUUAAAAACACAGCACUGUGCAAAAUCGUAAGAUGACGUAUACGGUGUGACGCCUGCCCGGUGCCGGAAGGUUAAUUGAUGGGGUUAGACUUCGGUCGAAGCUCUUGAUCGAAGCCCCGGUAAACGGCGGCCGUAACUAUAACGGUCCUAAGGUAGCGAAAUUCCUUGUCGGGUAAGUUCCGACCUGCACGAAUGGCGUAAUGAUGGCCACGCUGUCUCCACCCGAGACUCAGUGAAAUUGAAAUCGCUGUGAAGAUGCAGUGUACCCGCGGCUAGACGGAAAGACCCCGUGAACCUUUACUACAGCUUGGCACUGAACA